This 64-nucleotide transfer RNA is filed under the name Cavia porcellus (domestic guinea pig). It matches the Rfam family "tRNA". From Rfam's summary of the family: Transfer RNA (tRNA) molecules are approximately 80 nucleotides in length. Their secondary structure includes four short double-helical elements and three loops (D, anti-codon, and T loops). The record is from Rfam by way of RNAcentral. Lineage: Eukaryota; Metazoa; Chordata; Mammalia; Rodentia; Caviidae.
GGGGAUUUAGCUCAGCGGCAUAAGCGCCUGCCUUGCACGCAGGCAGUCGUGAGUUCAAUCCCCG